RNAcentral lists this ribosomal RNA (508 nucleotides) under uncultured fungus. RNAcentral's name for it is "SSU rRNA". It matches the Rfam family "Eukaryotic small subunit ribosomal RNA", at positions 569 to 1078 of the family's 1831-position model. Lineage: Eukaryota; Fungi. The record is from RNAcentral.
AGCAGCCGCGGUAAUUCCAGCUCCAAUAGCGUAUAUUAAAGUUGUUGCAGUUAAAAAGCUCGUAGUUGAAUUUCGGGAUCAAUUUAUCGGUCGUGCCUAUGGUAUGAACUGGUACAAUUGGUUUCUCCCUUCUGACGAAGCAUGAUGUCAUUAAUUUGGUGUCGUGGGGAGUCAGGACUGUUACUUUGAAAAAAUUAGAGUGUUUAAAGCAAGCAUUAGCUUGAAUACAUUAGCAUGGAAUAAUGAAAUAGGACGUUUGAUCCUAUUUCGUUGGUUUCUAGGAUCGACGUAAUGAUUAAUAGGGAUAGUUGGGGGCAUUAGUAUUCAAUUGUCAGAGGUGAAAUUCUUGGAUUUAUUGAAGACUAACUACUGCGAAAGCAUUUGCCAAGGAUGUUUUCAUUAAUCAAGAACGAAAGUUAGGGGAUCGAAGACGAUCAGAUACCGUCGUAGUCUUAACCAUAAACUAUGCCGACUAGGGAUCGGAUGAUGUUAAUUUUUUAAUGACUCA